This 253-nucleotide ribosomal RNA is filed under the name uncultured bacterium. RNAcentral describes it as "partial 16S ribosomal RNA". It matches the Rfam family "Bacterial small subunit ribosomal RNA", at positions 524 to 776 of the family's 1533-position model. The record is from RNAcentral.
UACGAACGGUGCAAGCGUUGUCCGGAAUUAUUGGGCGUAAAGAGCUCGUAGGCGGUCUGUUGCGUCGGCUGUGAAAACCCGGGGCUCAACCCCGGGCCUGCAGCCGAUACGGGCAGACUAGAGUUCGGCAGGGGAGACUGGAAUUCCUGGUGUAGCGGUGAAAUGCGCAGAUAUCAGGAGGAACACCGGUGGCGAAGGCGGGUCUCUGGGCCGAUACUGACGCUGAGGAGCGAAAGCGUGGGGAGCGAACAGG